This 1703-nucleotide ribosomal RNA is filed under the name Triticum aestivum (bread wheat). Its description in RNAcentral is "partial small subunit ribosomal RNA". Lineage: Eukaryota; Viridiplantae; Streptophyta; Magnoliopsida; Poales; Poaceae. The record is from RNAcentral.
AUGCAUCAGAAAGAUAGCAAGAAACCACAGUAUAUAACACAACAGCAAAGACAAACUGAAUUCAGGCUCACUUAUUCAUUGUUCACCAAAGCUGCUGCACACCAGCAGAAGUUCGAAGAUACAAAUGGUAACACUGCAUCAAUGUACGGUACAGAAACAAAGACAGGAUCAGGCAACCGCAGACACAAACGAGACUCAAUGAAGGACACCAAAGACCAGACUUGCGGACCCAGAGACCAAAGCAGAGCUCCAUGGCCAGGAGCUUUACUGGCCACCACGGAGACGGAGCACCAAGUGAAGGGUGGACUCCUUCUGGAUGUUGUAGUCCGCCAGGGUGCGGCCAUCCUCAAGCUGCUUACCAGCAAAGAUCAGGCGCUGCUGGUCCGGGGGGAUGCCCUCCUUGUCCUGGAUCUUCGCCUUCACGUUGUCAAUGGUGUCAGAUGACUCCACCUCCAGGGUGAUGGUCUUGCCCGUGAGGGUCUUCACAAAUAUCUGCAUGCCACCACGGAGCCUGAGCACCAAGUGGAGGGUGGACUCCUUCUGGAUGUUGUAGUCCGCAAGGGUGCGGCCAUCCUCGAGCUGCUUGCCAGCAAAGAUGAGACGCUGCUGGUCCGGGGGGAUGCCCUCCUUGUCCUGUAUCUUUGCCUUGACAUUGUCGAUGGUGUCAGAGGACUCAACCUCAAGGGUGAUGGUCUUGCCAGUAAGGGUCUUCACGAAGAUCUGCAUCUGUAAAUACAAAGCAGACAGAACCAGAGUAAGUUGCCGGUAAGGGUCUUCACGAAGAUCUGCAGUAUGUCAAACAAUAGAUGAACCAGAUGGCACCAUGCUAAAAAAAUGAAAUUGCAACAGAGAUGAAAUCAGCAAACUGCCCAGGAGCUGCCCCAGUACAAGAAGCCAAUGAAUUGACAUAGCAUGCAAUGCUAAAUUUUAGCUUAACUAUAUAUUAGCAUAUCUACCAGCGCAAUCUUUACCUUCAGUGGGAGCAUACGUAAUCUAAAGUUGUACCGAGAAGGUGGUUAAGAAGUCAAGGAAACAACAGUAAUAUCGCAAACCGACAUGAACUGAAGAGUUGAAUUGAUGCACAACUAAGUAUACUCCAAGCGACUAGAAAGCCGGUAGCAAAUCACAGGUGUAUCCCUUAACAGCGCUUCAGAAUCAGAAAUUAGCAUAACUAUAACUACAUAGAAUAAUCGAAUCAACAGGAUCGCAUCCCAAUAACACCACGACCACGAAGGUGUAUCCUUGGACAGAUCAGGCAUGUAGGUGUAUCAUGAGCGGUACAAAAUCAUAAAUCCGCAAUAAUACAACUACAACCGAUGAGAUGAACCGACCCAACAGCAAUCGCAUCGGAAUCGUCAGAUCUACUCGAAAAUCAUGGCAUGAUCAAGAGAUUUAACAAGAAUCGAGCCUAAUCAACAUCGACUAACUGAACGAGCUUCAAUCGAUCAACAACAAUAGCGCCUCAACCCACCCACAGAUCUACUCCGAACGAUUAACAGGAAUCGAGGGGAACCAACAAGAACCGAUCAGGGUAGUCCUAGCAACGAUCCCAGGGCACGCACGCACGCACAUGGCGAGAAGGUGGGGAAGAAAUCGGAGGCUCGCAUCGCAUACCUUGAGGAGGAGGACGAGAGAGCCUUCGCCUCGCUUCGAUCGGAGAGAUUUCCCGGCGAGAUCGGAUGGGGGGCUGGAUUGGAUUGGAU